UACGGAGGGUGCGAGCGUUAAUCGGAAUAACUGGGCGUAAAGGGCACGCAGGCGGGUUUGUAAGUGAGAUGUGAAAUCCCCGGGCUCAACCUGGGAACUGCGUUUUGAACUGGCGGACUAGAGUGUGUCAGAGGUGGGUAGAAUUCCACGUGUAGCAGUGAAAUGCGUAGAGAUGUGGAGGAAUACCGAAGGCGAAGGCAGCCGCUUGGGAAUGUACUGACGCUCAUGUGCGAAAGCUUGGGGAGCAAACGGG
RNAcentral lists this ribosomal RNA (253 nucleotides) under uncultured bacterium. RNAcentral describes it as "partial 16S ribosomal RNA". It matches the Rfam family "Bacterial small subunit ribosomal RNA", at positions 524 to 776 of the family's 1533-position model. The record is from RNAcentral.